GUCGAGGUGGUGUAGUUGGUUAUCACGUCUGUCUAACAGGACCACAUCUUCGGAUGUGACUCCCUGGUGCACAGAAGGUCCCGAGUUCAAGUCUCGGCUUCGAUA
Non-coding RNA from Saccharata proteae CBS 121410, 105 nucleotides. The record is from the annotation of a GenBank genome assembly. Lineage: Eukaryota; Fungi; Ascomycota; Dothideomycetes; Botryosphaeriales; Saccharataceae.